This 618-nucleotide ribosomal RNA is filed under the name Triticum aestivum (bread wheat). RNAcentral's name for it is "partial small subunit ribosomal RNA". The record is from RNAcentral. Lineage: Eukaryota; Viridiplantae; Streptophyta; Magnoliopsida; Poales; Poaceae.
AUGAUUGUUGGGGACCUUAAUGAGAUCGUGUACACCUUUGAAAAAGAGGGUGGAAAUCCCAGGCCUCCGAACUACAUGCAGGCAUUUCGAGAUGUAAUUGAGGAUUGUAACCUUACAGACGUGGGAUUCGUGGGAGAUAAGUUCACAUGGAAAAGGGGGAAAACUCGAGCAAGACUAGACAGGGCACUAGCAAAUGACAUGUGGAACGAGGAAUUUGGUGGAGCAGUGGUGGAACACCUGGACUAUUAUCGGUCUGACCACAUGCCUCUUUUGGUGAGGCUGGACCCUACAACGAAUGUGCCAGUUGGGCCUAAAGUCCUGCGUUUUGAGUCGCGUUGGUUAAGGGAGACCAAGUUCCAGGAAACAGUAGCACAAGCUUGGGCUGAUGCAAAUACUGCUGCGCAGGAUGAUAGUCUCUCCUCGAGACUUGCGUUUGUACAUAAUCAGCACCACAAUUGGGACAUAACGGUGCUAAAAAAUGCAAGAAGGAAACUAAGGGGGGUGCAGAAGGAAUUGGAGCGUGUUACAAGAGAUACCAUGACAGAUGAAAACCUAUCAAGGCAACGUGACCUCCUAGCAGAAGUGGAGAAAUUAUUGGAACAUGAAGAGAUGUACUGA